This 483-nucleotide ribosomal RNA is filed under the name uncultured bacterium. Its description in RNAcentral is "partial 16S ribosomal RNA". It matches the Rfam family "Bacterial small subunit ribosomal RNA", at positions 28 to 523 of the family's 1533-position model. The record is from RNAcentral.
GACGAACGCUGGCGGCGUGCUUAACACAUGCAAGUCGAACGAUGAAGCUGGAGCUUGCUCCGGUGGAUUAGUGGCGAACGGGUGAGUAACACGUGAGCAAUCUGCCCUUGACUCUGGGAUAACUGCGGGAAACUGUAGCUAAUACCGGAUACGAGGCUCGAAGGCAUCUUCGGGUCUGGAAAGAAUUUCGGUCAAGGAUGAGCUCGCGGCCUAUCAGAUUGUUGGUGAGGUAAUGGCUCACCAAGGCGACGACGGGUAGCCGGCCUGAGAGGGUGACCGGCCACACUGGGACUGAGACACGGCCCAGACUCCUAUGGGAGGCAGCAGUGGGGAAUAUUGCACAAUGGGCGAAAGCCUGAUGCAGCAACGCCGCGUGAGGGAUGAAGGCCUUCGGGUUGUAAACCUCUUUUAGCAGGGAAGAAGCGAAAGUGACGGUACCUGCAGAAAAAGCACCGGCUAACUACGUGCCAGCCGCCGCAGUAA